UAAAUGGUCAUAUACUAUUACUCAGCAUGCAGGAACAGGGGUUCAUCGGCUUUGCAGACAACUGGCCAUUAAAUGGUGGUCCAAAUUUGAUGAGGACAAAAUUGAAAAUAUUCCUCCUCAUGUUGUCGAUGGUGAUAUGGGCAAAUAUGAUGCCUCUCAGCAGAAGUUAAAAUCCAUCCUCAAAGGAAUUCCAAAAAAUGAAAUCCUUGAUUUUCUCAGGAAUCAUGAUGACACGGUCACUAUGCUAGACAGUGAUGAUGAGAAAUAUGACCCAUUUGGUGGCCCG
Molecule: long non-coding RNA, 286 nt
Filed under: Panax ginseng (ginseng)
Lineage: Eukaryota; Viridiplantae; Streptophyta; Magnoliopsida; Apiales; Araliaceae
Description: long non-coding RNA (PGIN_LNC000567)
Source: RNAcentral